RNAcentral lists this non-coding RNA (98 nucleotides) under Stappia sp. RNAcentral's name for it is "TPP sequence". It matches the Rfam family "TPP riboswitch aptamer (THI element)". Rfam says of the family: Vitamin B(1) in its active form thiamin pyrophosphate (TPP) is an essential coenzyme that is synthesised by coupling of pyrimidine and thiazole moieties in bacteria. The previously detected thiamin-regulatory element, thi box was extended, resulting in a new, highly conserved RNA secondary structure, the THI element, which is widely distributed in eubacteria and also occurs in some archaea. The record is from RNAcentral. Lineage: Bacteria; Pseudomonadati; Pseudomonadota; Alphaproteobacteria; Hyphomicrobiales; Stappiaceae.
AUGCCCCCAAGGGGGUGCCUCCGGGCUGAGAGGCCACGCGCCGACCCCUCGAACCUGCUCCGGGUCAUGCCGGCGAAGGGAUUGGAGAACAGGUGAAA